This 253-nucleotide ribosomal RNA is filed under the name uncultured bacterium. Its description in RNAcentral is "partial 16S ribosomal RNA". It matches the Rfam family "Bacterial small subunit ribosomal RNA", at positions 524 to 776 of the family's 1533-position model. The record is from RNAcentral.
UACAGGGGGUGCAAGCGUUACUCGGAAUUAUUGGGCGUAAAGAGCGUGUAGGUGGUUUGUUAAGUCUGAUGUGAAAUCCCUGGGCUCAAUCCAGGAAGUGCAUUGGAUACUGGCAGACUAGAGUAUAGGAGGGGUGAGCGGAAUUCCUGGUGUAGAGGUGAAAUUCGUAGAUAUCAGGAGGAACAACAGUGGCGAAGGCGGCUCACUAGACUAUUACUGACACUAAGGCGCGAAAGCGUGGGGAGCAAACAGG